Molecule: non-coding RNA, 24 nt
Filed under: Cricetulus griseus (Chinese hamster)
Lineage: Eukaryota; Metazoa; Chordata; Mammalia; Rodentia; Cricetidae
Source: RNAcentral
UAGCAUCACAAGUAUUAGAGGCAA